AUUGAACGCUGGCGGCAGGCCUAACACAUGCAAGUCGAGCGGAUGAAGGGAGCUUGCUCCUGGAUUCAGCGGCGGACGGGUGAGUAAUGCCUAGGAAUCUGCCUGGUAGUGGGGGAUAACGUCCGGAAACGGGCGCUAAUACCGCAUACGUCCUGAGGGAGAAAGUGGGGGAUCUUCGGACCUCACGCUAUCAGAUGAGCCUAGGUCGGAUUAGCUAGUUGGUGGGGUAAAGGCCUACCAAGGCGACGAUCCGUAACUGGUCUGAGAGGAUGAUCAGUCACACUGGAACUGAGACACGGUCCAGACUCCUACGGGAGGCAGCAGUGGGGAAUAUUGGACAAGGGGCGAAAGCCUGAUCCAGCCAUGCCGCGUGUGUGAAGAAGGUCUUCGGAUUGUAAAGCACUUUAAGUUGGGAGGAAGGGCAGUAAGUUAAUACCUUGCUGUUUUGACGUUACCAACAUAAUAAGCACCGGCUAACUUCGUG
RNAcentral lists this ribosomal RNA (484 nucleotides) under uncultured bacterium. RNAcentral's name for it is "partial 16S ribosomal RNA". It matches the Rfam family "Bacterial small subunit ribosomal RNA", at positions 30 to 507 of the family's 1533-position model. The record is from RNAcentral.